Molecule: ribosomal RNA, 611 nt
Filed under: Amphibacillus sp. PO2-12
Lineage: Bacteria; Bacillati; Bacillota; Bacilli; Caryophanales; Bacillaceae
Description: bacterial SSU rRNA
Rfam family: Bacterial small subunit ribosomal RNA
Source: RNAcentral
CGGAUGGGUGAGUAACACGUGGGCAACCUGCCUAUAAGAMUGGGAUAACUUGCGGAAACGUGAGCUAAUACCGGAUAAUUCCUCUUGUUACCUAAUAAGAGGGUAAAAGGCGGCUUUUAGCUGUCACUUAUAGAUGGGCCUGCGGCGCAUUAGCUAGUUGGUGAGAUAAAAGCUCACCAAGGCAACGAUGCGUAGCCGACCUGAGAGGGUGAUCGGCCACACUGGGACUGAGACACGGCCCAGACUCCUACGGGAGGCAGCAGUAGGGAAUCUUCCGCAAUGGACGAAAGUCUGACGGAGCAACGCCGCGUGAACGAAGAAGGUUUUCGGAUCGUAAAGUUCUGUUGUUAGGGAAGAACCCGUACCAUUCGAAUAGGAUGGUACCUUGACGGUACCUAACGAGAAAGCCCCGGCUAACUACGUGCCAGCAGCCGCGGUAAUACGUAGGGGGCAAGCGUUGUCCGGAAUUAUUGGGCGUAAAGCGCUCGCAGGCGGUUCUUUAAGUCUGAUGUGAAAUCUUGCGGCUCAACCGUAAGCGGUCAUUGGAAACUGGAGAACUUGAGGACAGAAGAGGAGAGUGGAAUUCCACGUGUAGCGGUGAAAUGCGUAGA